RNAcentral lists this ribosomal RNA (326 nucleotides) under uncultured Thiobacillus sp. RNAcentral describes it as "bacterial SSU rRNA". It matches the Rfam family "Bacterial small subunit ribosomal RNA", at positions 1049 to 1382 of the family's 1533-position model. Lineage: Bacteria; Pseudomonadati; Pseudomonadota; Betaproteobacteria; Nitrosomonadales; Thiobacillaceae. The record is from RNAcentral.
CUGUCGUCAGCUCGUGUCGUGAGAUGUUGGGUUAAGUCCCGCAACGAGCGCAACCCUUAUCAUUAGUUGCUACGCAAGGGCACUCUAAUGAGACUGCCGGUGACAAGCCGGAGGAAGUGGGGAUGACGUCAAGUCCUCAUGGCCCUUAUGGGUAGGGCUUCACACGUCAUACAAUGGUCGGUACAGAGGGUUGCCAAGCCGCGAGGCGGAGCCAAUCCCACAAAGCCGAUCGUAGUCCGGAUUGUUCUCUGCAACUCGAGAGCAUGAAGUCGGAAUCGCUAGUAAUCGCAGGUCAGCAUACUGCGGUGAAUACGUUCCCGGGUCUU